Molecule: ribosomal RNA, 223 nt
Filed under: Klebsiella aerogenes
Lineage: Bacteria; Pseudomonadati; Pseudomonadota; Gammaproteobacteria; Enterobacterales; Enterobacteriaceae
Also listed under: 13 other names
Description: partial 23S ribosomal RNA
Rfam family: Bacterial large subunit ribosomal RNA
Source: RNAcentral
CGGCGAGCGAACGGGGAGCAGCCCAGAGUCUGAAUCAGCUUGUGUGUUAGUGGAACGGUCUGGAAAGUCCGACGGUACAGGGUGAUAGUCCCGUACACCAAAAUGCACAGGUUGUGAACUCGAAGAGUAGGGCGGGACACGUGGUAUCCUGUCUGAAUAUGGGGGGACCAUCCUCCAAGGCUAAAUACUCCUGACUGACCGAUAGUGAACCAGUACCGUGAGG